Lethenteron reissneri (Far Eastern brook lamprey) is the source of this 491-nucleotide long non-coding RNA. RefSeq lists it as uncharacterized. The record is from RefSeq and is a predicted model, not a curated record. Lineage: Eukaryota; Metazoa; Chordata; Hyperoartia; Petromyzontiformes; Petromyzontidae.
AGGGAGUGAGAGGGGACGACUCGGAGAGAGAGGACGACUCGGAGAGAGGACGACUCAGAGAGAGAGGGCGACUCAGAGAGAGAGGGAGGACGACUGGGAUUUAAAGGCGACUCAGAUGCGCCAAGAGGAGGCACCACAAACGUGCGGGAAGGCAGCAGCAGGAGCAGCCACGCGCGCUGCUUUCGAAACCAAACAGCGUUGCCGACGGGCGCACUCAAACGCACGUGACAUUGACGCAGUGAGCAGCUGCAAGUCCUUCCUGUGGGAGUCCGACGCGCGUGACCCGGCAUCAGCCCUCGCAGCAGGAGCAGCCUGGAGCUAGCAAGGCGACUCCGAUGACGGCGGCGCUACAACUGCCUUUGGAGCCGCCACUGGAGAAGAACGAAUUCAAAGUCAACGUGACCUCAUGCUCCAUUGCGUAUAUUUGAGAGCAGUGCUCACCUCCUCUUUGCGGCCCACAGCCAGUGGUGGUAAUUCCACGUGCCCACGAC